CGAUUGCCUAGGGAUUACCCUUGCCACACUCUCUUAUUCAAGGGGAAUGAAGAUUCACUCACCAGAAAACUUCAGAAAGAUGCCCACUGCUAGCUUCCCUGUGGCAGCUGUUCCGGGUUAGAAACUCGGAGUUGCGGGAAGUUGAAACAUGGGACCCAUUACAAAAAGCUUCUGAGGACAAAACUCUUUAGGUGCAGGGUUGCUUUUCCGCACAGUGAGUGUACCUAUGAGGCUUUGUAUCUGGAUAAAAGUUUGACUUCUCUUUUCUUUCCAGUAAGAAAUUUAUCUCAAUUUGUAUA
Musa acuminata AAA Group (dessert banana) is the source of this 299-nucleotide long non-coding RNA. RefSeq lists it as uncharacterized. NCBI's taxonomy places the organism in Eukaryota, Viridiplantae, Streptophyta, Magnoliopsida, Zingiberales, Musaceae. The record is from RefSeq and is a predicted model, not a curated record. The transcript has 2 exons.